UUAGCCCUAAACUCAGAUAUUUAACAUACAAAAAUAUCCGCCAGAGAACUACGAGCAAAACGCUUAAAACUCAAAGGACUUGGCGGUACCUCAAACCCCCCUAGAGGAGCCUGUUCUAUAAUCGACAACCCACGAUAGACCUCACCAUCUCUUGCCAAUCCCGCCUAUAUACCACCGUCACCAGCCCGCCCCGUGAGGGAUCUGAUAGCAGGCAGAAUAACCAAAAACAGUUAACAAGUCAGGUCAAGGUGUAGCUAACUGAGAUGGAAGAAAUGGGCUACAUUUUCUACACUAGAAAUCAAUUUACGGAAGGAACUAUGAAAUUAAUCCCAUAAGCAGGAUUUAGCAGUAAACCUGGAUCAGAAUGCCUAGUUU
Molecule: ribosomal RNA, 375 nt
Filed under: Pangshura tecta (Indian roofed turtle)
Lineage: Eukaryota; Metazoa; Chordata; Testudines; Geoemydidae
Description: partial 12S ribosomal RNA
Rfam family: Bacterial small subunit ribosomal RNA
Source: RNAcentral